This 492-nucleotide ribosomal RNA is filed under the name uncultured bacterium. Its description in RNAcentral is "partial 16S ribosomal RNA". It matches the Rfam family "Bacterial small subunit ribosomal RNA", at positions 29 to 507 of the family's 1533-position model. The record is from RNAcentral.
AGUGAACGCUGGCGGUAGGCCUAACACAUGCAAGUCGAACGGCAGCACAGUAAGAGCUUGCUCUUACGGGUGGCGAGUGGCGGACGGGUGAGGAAUACAUCGGAAUCUACUUUUUCGUGGGGGAUAACGUAGGGAAACUUACGCUAAUACCGCAUACGACCUACGGGUGAAAGCAGGGGAUCUUCGGACCUUGCGCGAUUGAAUGAGCCGAUGUCGGAUUAGCUAGUUGGCGGGGUAAAGGCCCACCAAGGCGACGAACCGUAGCUGGUCUGGGAGGAUGAUUAGGCCAACUGGAACUGGAAAACGGUCCCGACUCCUACGGGGGGCCACCAGGGGGAAAUUUGGAAAAAGGGGGGAAGCCCUGACCCGCCCUACCGGGGUGGGUGAAAAGGCCUUGCGGUUGUAAAGCCCUUUUGUUGGGAAAGAAAAGCAGCAGGUUAAUACCCCGCUGUUCUGACGGUACCCAAAGAAUAAGCACCGGCUAACUUCGUG